CCGAGUCUUUGGUGGCACUUCGGUGGCGGAUCCUUCAUUCGCUCCAGGUCUUUAGUAGCACUGAAGGACCCACCGCCGAAGUGCUGCCGAAAACCUGGAGCGCCGCCAGGUGAGUAAAAAUUAAAAAGGCGCCUCUAGCCAGGGAAGGGAUUCUCACUAGGCGCGGGGCCCUCUUAGGCAUGGGGCCCGAUUCGGGAGAAUUGGUGGAAUAGGCCUAAAGCCAGCCCUGCCCCCAAUCACUACAUUGAGCUCCCCUUACAUGGGAGAUGUUGGUCCAUAUCCAGCUGGGUUCUAAUAAUGGGUGUGUGGGGGGGAGUUUCUGAGAAAGAUGCUGGGGGAUCCAGGCAGGUUGCUGGUGUUAAAUUUGUUUGAAUAUUUUCGUGUAUUUUUCAGGAAGGGGCCUCUAGGAGCUCUUGUUUCCAGAAAAGUGACUGAAUACUUGUCCACAGACUAUAGCUGAUGAAUGAUUAAUAAUGUUUUAGAAAUGUAUUUAUUUAAUUAUUCAUACAUUUGGUACACCAACAGCAGCACUUAGACUUCAUCUAUCAGACUGUUAACUCAACCACUAAUCAAUGUUUAAGAGGGGAAGGAAGUCAAAAAGACUAAAAAGCAAAGACUAUUGUGUGGAGCCUGUGUCCUGUCCAAAUGUUAUAGAUACAAAGCUGCAAUGCUGGAAAAUUAACACCAGAGGGGACCAUUGGAUCAGUUCUCUUGGAAGUGAAGUUUCAAAGAAACUGUUUCAUAGAUGAACAGACAUCUGCACAUGUCAACACGGUGUCCAUUCUCAGCUCUGUGUACUUCCUAAGGAAGUAUACAUGUGUGACGCAGUUCCCUUCUUGUUACCUGUGAAGGUUUCAUUGAACAGGUGAUCAAUCAGCAGUGAUCUCUUUGUUCUCUGUACUGCUAGUGCUACCUCAGACAGGUUAAGAAAAUAUUUCCACAUAGAGUGUCCUGCACCUUCCUCCAAAGCACUGGAUACUGGCCUUUGUUGGAGACAGGACAGUGGGUUUGACGGACCCCUGCUAUGAUCCACUAUGGUAAUUCCUGCUUUGUUUUACUUCUCUAAUCCUUUAAUAUAGACAGGCACUACCACAGCUCUGGUGCUGAACAUAUCUGGGUCUGUAUUUACCUUAGUGCUAUAUAGCUAUUAUUGAACAUCUAGCUGGUUUUCAUUGCUUAAAAGGAAGUUGUGGUGGUGUAGUGCUAUUAAAGUUAGGAGCACCUCUCUGGCACCAGGACCCCACCAUGAUAGGUGCUUUACAUGCAUAGAAUAAAAAGACAGUUCUUCCCCCA
RNAcentral lists this long non-coding RNA (1293 nucleotides) under Chelonoidis abingdonii (Abingdon island giant tortoise). RNAcentral's name for it is "lncRNA (ENSCABG00000021118.1)". The record is from RNAcentral. Lineage: Eukaryota; Metazoa; Chordata; Testudines; Testudinidae.